RNAcentral lists this ribosomal RNA (806 nucleotides) under uncultured bacterium. RNAcentral describes it as "bacterial SSU rRNA". It matches the Rfam family "Bacterial small subunit ribosomal RNA", at positions 8 to 796 of the family's 1533-position model. The record is from RNAcentral.
AGAGUUUGAUCCUGGCUCAGAAUGAACGCUGGCGGCGUUAACACAUGCAAGUCGUGCGCGAAGGAGGCUUCGGUCUCUGGAGAGCGGCGAACGGGUGAGUAACACGUGGGUAAUCUGCCUGGGAAUGGGGGAUAACCUGGGGAAACUCGGGCUAAUACCGCAUACGUUGGUUGGAUCUUGGUCUGACCUAAGAAAGCUGGCCUCUGCUUGCAAGCUAGCGUUCCUGGAGGAGCCCGCGGCUGAUUAGCUAGUUGGUGAGGUAACGGCUCACCAAGGCGACGAUCAGUAGCCGGCCUGAGAGGGUGAUCGGCCACACUGGGACUGAGACACGGCCCAGACUCCUACGGGAGGCAGCAGUGGGGAAUAUUGGACAAUGGGCGCAAGCCUGAUCCAGCAACGCCGCGUGGAGGAUGAAGGUCUUCGGAUCGUAAACUCCUGUCAGAUGGGACGAAGGCUUGGUGGCAAACAGUUGCCAAGUUUGACGGUACCAUCAGAGGAAGCCCCGGCUAACUCCGUGCCAGCAGCCGCGGUAAUACGGAGGGGGCGAGCGUUAUUCGGAAUUAUUGGGCGUAAAGGGCGCGUAGGCGGCUCUAUAAGUCAAAGGUGAAAUCCCUCGGCUCAACUGAGGAACUGCCUUUGAAACUGUUGGGCUUGAGGCCGGGAGAGGGUAGUGGAAUUCCCAGUGUAGCGGUGAAAUGCGUAGAUACUGGGAGGAACACCAGUGGCGAAGGCGGCUACCUGGACCGGUUCUGACGCUGAGGCGCGAAAGCGUGGGUAGCAAACAGGAUUAGAUACCCUAGUAGUCC